GACGAACGCUGGCGGCGUGCUUGACACAUGCAAGUCGAACGGAAAGGCCCUGCUUUUGUGGGGUGCUCGAGUGGCGAACGGGUGAGUAACACGUGAGUAACCUGCCCUUGACUUUGGGAUAACUUCAGGAAACUGGGGCUAAUACCGGAUAGGAUCUCCUGCUGCAUGGUGGGGGUUGGAAAGUUUCGGCGGUUGGGGAUGGACUCGCGGCUUAUCAGCUUGUUGGUGGGGUAGUGGCUUACCAAGGCUUUGACGGGUAGCCGGCCUGAGAGGGUGACCGGCCACAUUGGGACUGAGAUACGGACCAGAAUCCUACGGGAGGCAGCAGUGGGGAAUAUUGCACAAUGGGCGGAAGCCUGAUGCAGCAAAGCCGCGUGCGGGAUGACGGCCUUCGGGUUGUAAACCGCUUUCGCCUGUGACGAAGAGUGAGUGACGGUAAUGGGUAAAGAAGCACCGGCUAACUACGUG
Molecule: ribosomal RNA, 468 nt
Filed under: uncultured bacterium
Lineage: Bacteria
Description: partial 16S ribosomal RNA
Rfam family: Bacterial small subunit ribosomal RNA
Source: RNAcentral